UAGUUGGUGGGGUAAUGGCCUACCAAGGCGACGAUCAGUAGCGGGUCUGAGAGGAUGAUCCGCCACACUGGAACUGAGACACGGUCCAGACUCCUACGGGAGGCAGCAGUGGGGAAUUUUGGACAAUGGGCGAAAGCCUGAUCCAGCCAUUCCGCGUGAGUGAAGAAGGCYUUCGGGUUGUAAAGCUCUUUCAGCUGGAACGAAACGGUACGCUCUAACAUAGCGUGCUAAUGACGGUACCAGCAGAAGAAGCACCGGCUAACUACGUGCCAGCAGCCGCGGUAAUACGUAGGGUGCGGGCGUUAAUCGGAAUUACUGGGCGUAAAGCGUGCGCAGGCGGAUUGUUAAGCAAGAUGUGAAAUCCCCAGGCUUAACCUGGGAAUGGCAUUUUGAACUGGCAGUCUAGAGUGCGUCAGAGGGGGGUGGAAUUCCACGUGUAGCAGUGAAAUGCGUAGAUAUGUGGAGGAACACCAAUGGCGAAGGCAGCCCCCUGGGAUGACACUGACGCUCAUGUACGAAAGCGUGGGUAGCAAACAGGAUUAGAUACCCUGGUAGUCCACGCCCUAAACGAUGUCAACUGGUUGUUGGGGGAGUGAAAUCCCUUAGUAACGAAGCUAACGCGUGAAGUUGACCGCCUGGGGAGUACGGUCGCAAGAUUAAAACUCAAAGGAAUUGACGGGGACCCGCACAAGCGGUGGAUGAUGUGGAUUAAUUCGAUGCAACGCGAAAAACCUUACCUACCCUUGACAUGUCCAGAAUCCUGCAGAGAUGCGGGAGUGCCCGAAAGGGAAUUGGAACACAGGUGCUGCAUGGCUGUCGUCAGCUCGUGUCGUGAGAUGUUGGGUUAAGUCCCGCAACGAGCGCAACCCUUAUCAUUAGUUGCUACGCAAGGGCACUCUAAUGAGACUGCCGG
Molecule: ribosomal RNA, 913 nt
Filed under: uncultured bacterium
Lineage: Bacteria
Description: bacterial SSU rRNA
Rfam family: Bacterial small subunit ribosomal RNA
Source: RNAcentral